RNAcentral lists this ribosomal RNA (495 nucleotides) under uncultured bacterium. RNAcentral describes it as "bacterial SSU rRNA". It matches the Rfam family "Bacterial small subunit ribosomal RNA", at positions 67 to 543 of the family's 1533-position model. The record is from RNAcentral.
CGAAAGGCCCCCUCGGGGGCCGAGUAGAGUGGCGUCCGGGUGAGUAACACGUAGGUAAUCUACCUUUGGGUGGGGAAUAACGACCGGAAACGGUCGCUAAUACCGCAUAAUGCAGCGGCACCACAUGGUGACAGUUGUUAAAGCGGGGGAUCGCAAGACCUCGCGCCUAAAGAGGAGCCUGCGGCGGAUUAGCUAGUUGGUAGGGUAAUGGCCUACCAAGGCAACGAUCCGUAGCCGGCCUGAGAGGGCGGUCGGCCACACUGGCACUGACACACGGGCCAGACUCCUACGGGAGGCAGCAGUCGGGAAUUUUGGGCAAUGGGCGAAAGCCUGACCCAGCAACGCCGCGUGAAGGAUGAAGCUUUUCGGAGUGUAAACUUCAUAAGAAUGGGACGAAUAAGGAAGGGCUAAUACCCCUUUUGAUGACGGUACCAUUUGUAAGCUCCGGCUAACUCCGUGCCAGCAGCCGCGGUAAUACGGGGGGAGCAAGCGCUG